CACGUAGGGCGCAAGCGUUGUCCGGAAUUAUUGGGCGUAAAGAGCUCGUAGGUGGUUUGUUACGUCUGCUGUGAAAACCUAGGGCUUAACCCUGGGCUUGCAGUGGAUACGGGCAGACUAGAGGUAGGUAGGGGAGAAUGGAAUUCCUGGUGUAGCGGUGAAAUGCGCAGAUAUCAGGAGGAACACCAGUGGCGAAGGCGGUGGUCUGGGCCGGAACUGACGCUGUAGAGCGAAAGCGUGGGGAGCGAACAGG
RNAcentral lists this ribosomal RNA (253 nucleotides) under uncultured bacterium. RNAcentral's name for it is "partial 16S ribosomal RNA". It matches the Rfam family "Bacterial small subunit ribosomal RNA", at positions 524 to 776 of the family's 1533-position model. The record is from RNAcentral.